AAUCUUGUUCUACUUGCUGGAUAUAUCUGCAAGAAGCUGGAACCCAAGGUUAUGGUUCCUUCUGAAGAGGUGGUUAACACACUGCCUGCGGACCAACAAAGUUCAGGACAGAGAAUACCUAGAGGAGAGGAUCCAGGAUUUUAAAAUGACAGGAGGAGGAAAGAUCCUCUGAGUUUGACUGUAAAAUUUCUGACAGCGCUUGGCUCUUCUGUGCUGCUAUAGGGAGUGCUUCUGAAUUUCAUCUGCAAGGCACUGAGAACAGAGGGUACUCGGGACUUAGCAGAAAUUAUUCUCCCUUUUUAAGGAUCAAGCUCUUGAAGAGCACCCACUGUUAGGCAUAUGACCUCUUCAGAGAAACAUAUUGUACUUAUGUACAACGAGAAGGGGUUUGAAGCACUCUGAUGACUGAAAGGAUAUGCAAGUACAACUGAUAUCCCCUGAUGACAUUUGCUUACUUUAACUGCUUGCACAAGAUUCAGUUAUGUGCAUCAGCAGAGCAGAAAGGAACAGCAUACAUCCUGCAGAGCUGGAAAAUGCCUUCAUUGACUUUUCAGUAUCCACAACUUUGACAUGGAGAGGUGCACAUCCAGUGGCCAGAUGUAACUGCAGUCAGCUGUGGCCACUCCAAGCUGGAAAUGAGUGUCUGAGCAUCCUGAUCACUAAUCCUUCCACUGCAGUGCCUGUGUUCUGGCUGCUCUCUUGGGUGUUUUAUGAGAACGUGGAGCUGCAUGUCACAGUACCAUUUUCUGUGGGUUAAGGGAGACUGUUCUAACACUCCCAGCUUCUGCUGCCCAG
RNAcentral lists this long non-coding RNA (795 nucleotides) under Parus major (Great Tit). RNAcentral describes it as "lncRNA (ENSPMJG00000018576.1)". The record is from RNAcentral. Lineage: Eukaryota; Metazoa; Chordata; Aves; Passeriformes; Paridae.